RNAcentral lists this ribosomal RNA (393 nucleotides) under uncultured bacterium. Its description in RNAcentral is "partial 16S ribosomal RNA". It matches the Rfam family "Bacterial small subunit ribosomal RNA", at positions 523 to 918 of the family's 1533-position model. The record is from RNAcentral.
AUACGGAGGUUGCAAGCGUUAUCCGGAUUUAUUGGGUUUAAAGGGUGCGUAGGCGGUUUGCUAAGCGGGAGGUGAAAUGCCGGCGCUCAACGUCGGAAGUGCCUCCCGAACUGGUGGACUGGAAUGACUCUGCCGUGGGAGGAAUGUGUAGUGUAGCGGUGAAAUGCUUAGAGAUUACACAGAACACCGAUUGCGAAGGCAUCUCACGAAGGGUUGGUUGACGCUGAGGCACGAAAGCGUGGGGAUCAAACAGGAUUAGAUACCCUGGUAGUCCACGCAGUAAACGAUGAUGGCUAACCGCUGGGCUUAUCAGUUCAGUGGCCAAGCGAAAGCGAUAAGCCAUCCACCUGGGGAGUACGACCGCAAGGUUGAAACUCAAAUGAAUUGACGGGG